Molecule: ribosomal RNA, 253 nt
Filed under: uncultured bacterium
Lineage: Bacteria
Description: partial 16S ribosomal RNA
Rfam family: Bacterial small subunit ribosomal RNA
Source: RNAcentral
UACGAGGGGGGCAAGCGUUGUUCGGAAUUAUUGGGCGUAAAGGGUGCGUAGGCUGUGCGGUAAGUCACCUGUGAAAACUCUGGGCUCAACCCAGAGCCUGCAGGCGAAACUGCCGUGCUGGAGUAUGGGAGAGGUGCGUGGAAUUCCCGGUGUAGCGGUGAAAUGCGUAGAUAUCGGGAGGAACAUCAGUGGCGAAGGCGGCUGCCUGGCCCAAUACUGACACUCAGGUGCGACAGCGUGGGGAGCAAACAGG